Molecule: long non-coding RNA, 4349 nt
Organism: Homo sapiens (human)
Lineage: Eukaryota; Metazoa; Chordata; Mammalia; Primates; Hominidae
Exons: 2
Source: RefSeq, a predicted model, not a curated record
ACACGCCCGGCAAGAGCGGCGGAGAGGGGGCCCGGGACACCGCUGCGGCCACCGAGCUGCAAAGCCCGUGCCAGAGGUCGCGCACCGAGCGGGAUGCCCGGGCUGGGGGACAGAGGGACGCCUACAAGACUCCCAGGGCGCGGGACCAGACAGUAGGGACAGGUCUACUUUUCCAGCUGGGAUCAACUCUAGGAGCCACAGAACAAUUACACAAAAGAGAAGGUAGUGGAAAGAGGCACCCUCGGGGGGGCUCGAGGUCCCCGAGAGCCUCAGCGACCGAUCACCCAGGGUGAGGCGCACGGGCUCCAUCCCCAGCUCCCCGCGCGGUAAAAGUCGGGUUUCCUAGGAAAUGACAGCAGUUACCGCCGGGCUGAAAAGGCGCCGAGCUGGGUGGACUCCCAGCUCUCCAGCGCGGCGGGCGCGCUCACACUCACACACGCAAGCACACGCUCCCUCCCAGCUCCCCGCCCCCGCCCCGUCCGGGGAAAAGACUCCCCUCUCUAAACCCUUAAUAGGAUUGGCGCCCAACUCUCUCCGCGCCUCUCCCCAUCCAUCACAUACAGAUCAAGUUGCAGUAGUGGAUUUUUCAAAUUCCUCAGCAAAUAUACUUGUUGAGAGAUUGUCGGGGGUGGGGAGAGACGAUGAGUAGGGGGGCAGGGAUGAAAGUGAGGUGGAAGGGGGAACCGGAGGACCCGGCAAAGGAUUACGUGCGGAUCCCUUUGGGAAGUCAAGCGGAUCUCAGGGCCGAGGGCAGGAGAGGAGGAGAAGAGAGGCAAAGAGGGGGGGCCGAGGAGGAGAGCCCAGCAGAGGGGGAGGGGGCGGCCGGGCCGGGCGAGGGGGAGGAAGGAUUGAGGAAGGAAGAAAGAAAGGCAGGGCUCCGGGACGCGCAGCGCGGAGAAGUGGAGUUCGAAGUUCUCAAGUGGCUGGCUGCAGCCCCUCCGCGCUCAGUACGCCCGCAGACACGCUCCCAUGCCCACCUACGGCAGCUUCGGAGCAUCCCAGCCUCCGAUCCCACCCUCCACCCCCUGAAAAAACAGACCCCCGCCGGCGCGCGGAGGCCGGCUCGCUGUGCACCCCGAGAAGAGUGGUGCUCUCCCCCAGACCAGCUCAACUCCUGCUGGACUCCAGGCACUCACAUAACCUUUCCCGGCUUAUUUUGGCAAGAAGAUGGCUGUCGAGAUGAAGACAGAAUGUUUUUUGGUUGGAGGAGAACUCUGUAGACACCGUGCCUGAAUCUCUAGAUGGUCAGAAGUUUGGGCGCUGAAAAAAGCAGCAGAAGGUUUGGAGUGGAGGCAAACUGGUGUGGCCAGGGAAGCCUUCGACUGAGCGCUGGGACACCAGGUCCUAGUCCCAGAUCUGGUACUAAGUGUAUGACCUUUGGCCAGUCUGGUUCAUUCAAUCAGUACCAGGCACUGUGCUAAGUGGCUCGACACCACAGUGAGCAACACCUACAAGAUCUUUCCCCUUAGGGAGCUUAUGUUUCAUUAAUAACCACAAACAAACAUAUAAUCACAAACUGGGUAAAGGAAAAUCCACCGUGCUGUGGGAGCCGGUGAUUGGAGACCUGAGCAAGCUGGGAGGUGAGCUUGGGGAGGGGAGUGGUACAGAGAAGGAGAACGCUUUCCUGGGGAGAUGAGGUUGCACUGAUAAGAAGGAAUGAGGAAUGAGGGAGGGUGGACUAGGAGAAGGGGAAGUGGAGUGUUCCAGUUCUUCCUUCUCCCUUUCUGUGAAAUGGGCCUGAAUGACGAGAAAAACCAGGCCCAAAAGGAAGCAGCUUGUUCAUUAUUUCCCCGUAUUCUAGUGACUAGUCAUAGAACAAAUCACCCGCAAACUCAACGGAAGGAAACAACCAUUUCUUAUGUUCGUGGCUUCUGCACAUCAGGAUUUUGAACGAGGUAUAACAGGGGCAGUUUGUCUCUGCUCCACAGUGUCAGGCCUCCACUGGAAAGCUUCAGGGCUGAGGCUGGGAUCCUCUGAAGACUCUGGCUCCGCUGCCUGGCGGUCUGUGCUGACUGUUGGCUGGUGGGGGGCCUCAGUUCCUUUCCAUGCACCUCUUCAUGUGGUCUCUUUACUCAGGCUAGUUGGGGUCCCUCAUAGCACGGUGGUAACUAAUAUGCAGGGCGAGCUUAACAAGAACCAGCCAGGGAGAAGGCCUUUGGUCUUCUAUGAAACCUCGGCAGGCACACCGUAUCACGUCAGUGCACUCUAUUCUUCAGGGCAGACACAGAGAUCUGCCUCGGUUAAGGGGAGGGAAAAUAGACUCCAUCUCUCUUCUUUUUUUUUUUUUCAGACGAGUCUUGCUCUGUUGCCCAGGCUGGAGUGCAGUGGCGCCAUCUCUGCUCACUGCAACCUCUGCCACCAGGGUUCAAAGGAUUCUCCUGCCUCAGCCUCCCAAGUAGCUGGGAUUACAGGCACGCACCACUACACCUGGCUAAUUUUUGUAUUUUUUAGUAGAGAUGGGGUUUCACUAUGUUGGCCAGGCUAGUCUCAAACUCCUGACCUCAAGUGAUCCACCUGCCUCGGCCUCCCAAAGUGCUGGGAUUACAGGCAUGAGCCACCACACCAGGCUAGACUCCAUCUCUUGAGGGGGAGUGGCAUGAUUCUGAAAAAGCACCUGGGAGCAGAAAGGUUGCUGUGGCUGUUUUUGGAAAACACAGUCUGCUACACAUGGCUAACUGGAGACCCGUGGAAGACUAGAUAGGCUCUGAGAUAGGUGUACUGCUUCAUGGUUAGGCUACAAAGCCUGUGUCUUCAUCCACUCAGGCUGCUAUAACAAAACACCCUAGACUGGGUAAUUUAUAAAUGACAGAAAUUUACUACUCACAGUUCUGGAGUCUGGAAAGUCCAAGAUCAAGGCACCAGCAGAUUCAGUGGUCUGGUGAGGGAGUGCCCUGCUUCAUAGAUAGCACCUUCUUGCUGAGUCCUCACAUGGAGGAAGGGGUGAACAAGCACCUUCUUUUGUGAGGAUACUAAUCCUAUACAUGAAGGCUCUGCCCUCAUGAGCUAAUCACCUCCUAAAGGCCCCACCUCUUAAUAUCAUUGCAUUGGGGAUUGUUUCAAUGUAUGAAUUCCCUGGACAUGCCCCCAUGUCCAUGGGGACAUGAACAUUCGACUAUGGCAGCCUCAUAGCAAGCACUUAGGAGUUCUAGAAAGAAUCAAGAGACCCAAUCCCUACCCUUAAGGAGCCUACACUCUCAAGAGAUACAUAGAUUUGGCCGUGAUUAAAGGACACAAAACGGUGCACUGAGGAGUGGGCUGGGUAGCCAGUUCCCACCUGGAUAGGGUGGACUAAACAGCCACUCAGUAGCCAGAGAGGAGUGGCAGGGAGGGUGUCCAUACAACAAAUACGGACCAGUCCCAAGCGUGGAUCCUGUCCAUCUGCUGUCCUUUCAGGGCUCCUGAGAUGGCCCUCAGCCUCACCCUCCACUCCACCUCCCAUAGACUCUGCAGAGGGAGCCACUAGUCUCAGGCUAUGUCUGUUAUCACAAUGCGAGUACAUCUGAGAGGGGCAAUCCAGAACCUUUCGGGUGAUACUACUUAACCACUGUGAGGAAAUUUACAGACCUUUUCCAAAGAGUGGACUUCUAAAGGAGUAAGAAAAGUGAGGAUGCUACCUGUGGGGGCACUACUACAGGGACAGUUACACAAAGGGAGGAUGCCAGGCGGGCCAAACACCAGCAAGCAUUUCUCAUUUGCAACCUGAAUUUUCAACCCUCUCCCAGACAACUUUGUGGAAUAAAGCAAUGUAGAGAUGCACACAAGGGGUUGUACAAACUUGGAAGAUGUUAGGGACCCCCCCCCCCGUGCCCACCCCGCCAACCACAGAAGCAACUGGCAAAACCUCUUUCCUCUUCAGGAUUGCCCUGGAGGACACAGCUGGGAGAGAGUCAAGUGCAGAUGUGCCAAAACUCUUUGGCUAAUGAACUCAUGCACGCAUCCAUGCAUUCAUUCAUUCAUUCACUUAAUCAUCUGUGUUGAGCUCCUACUAUGUGCUUUGCACUUUAGAAAUAAAAAGAUCAGCUGGGCGGGGUGGCUCACGCCUGUAAUCCCAGCACUUUGGGAGGCCUGAGGCGGGUGGAUCACGAGGUCAGGAGUUCGAGACCAGCCUGGCCAACAUGGUGAAACCCCGUCUCUACUAAAAAUACAAAAAUUAGCUGGGUAUGGUGGCGCGUGCCUGUAAUCCCAGCUACUCAGGAGGCUGAGGUAGGAGAACUGCUUGAACCGGGACCUGGGAGGCGGAAGUUGCGGUGAGCUGAGAUCACACCAUUGCACUCCAGCCUGGGCAACAAGAGUGAAACUCUGUCUCAAAAAGAUAAAUAAAUAAAUAAAAAGAUCAAUGAGCUAUGGUC